AACGCUGUUGCGCGUGGUUUCGCGCCCACCCCUUGGUAUGGGGUGGUAGAAGGUUCAAUUCCUUCCAGCAGCA
Molecule: transfer RNA, 73 nt
Filed under: Caulobacter phage CcrBL10
Lineage: Duplodnaviria; Heunggongvirae; Uroviricota; Caudoviricetes; Jeanschmidtviridae
Description: tRNA-Thr
Source: RNAcentral